RNAcentral lists this ribosomal RNA (253 nucleotides) under uncultured bacterium. RNAcentral's name for it is "partial 16S ribosomal RNA". It matches the Rfam family "Bacterial small subunit ribosomal RNA", at positions 524 to 776 of the family's 1533-position model. The record is from RNAcentral.
UACGUAGGGUGCAAGCGUUGUCCGGAAUUAUUGGGCGUAAAGAGCUCGUAGGCGGUCUGUCGCGUCGGAUGUGAAAACCCAGGGCUCAACCCUGGGCCUGCAUUCGAUACGGGCAGACUAGAGUUCGGUAGGGGAGACUGGAAUUCCUGGUGUAGCGGUGAAAUGCGCAGAUAUCAGGAGGAACACCGGUGGCGAAGGCGGCCUGCUGGGCAGUAGCUGACACUGAGGCGCGACAGCGUGGGGAGCAAACAGG